GUUAGGAGGGGAUAGAAUUAAGCGAUUCUACACGUUUUGUGUAUUUCUGCAAAAAUGCCGAGGGCUGGUAAUUGCCUGACUCUUGGCUUAGCUCUUUGGCCUUCAGCAAGUGCAGCUGGCUCUGCAGCAGCCUGGGUUCUAAAGGGGGAUAUGGAGUAAGGAGAAAAAAACAAUAGCCUUUAUCUUUUCCCUCUGGAACAACAGACAGACAGACAGACACAGACACACACACACACACACACACACACACACACACACACACACACACACACAAACCCCAAGUGUCUCUGUGUGUAGAAAUAUGGAUCAAUAAUAAAUGUACUGUUUUUUUUUUUUUUUAAAAAAAAAACUGUGUUAGUUCUGUCCAAAAUCUGCCUGUUAUUUGAAGGGGACAGACACACUUCGGCAACAAGAGAUAAAUUGUGAAAAUCUGAUUGUUACAGCCAAGGGAAGCAGAGUUCGUUGUCACGUGGUCUCAGUGCCUUCCCACAUCCUCACGACUCUCUCCAGACUGCUGUCAUCUCUCUCCAGUAAGCCCUGAGUGAUCAUCUCUACACCUCUGCCUUCGCUUGGUAUUUUAUCAGUAGAUAGUUAGACAAUCCUUCUGUAGUUUGGGGAAGAUACAGCUGAUAAGCUCUUGGGAGGUUAUGAUAUGAGACAAAUUAUUUAUUCUUCUUGUACUAGUUCUUGGGCGUUACUCCUCCUUUACCUGUAGAGGUUCAUUAAUCCUGGCUUUUAAAAAGUUCUGUUUCAAAGUAGAGAUGACAUGUAAACGUUAUAAUUUCUUUCCAAAACAUUUUAAAUACUGGAAUUGAACUUCCUCAAACACUGCAGACUAAAACCUUGAUGUAAGCUAUAGUACGGCUUCUAUUCACUUGGCUACUUCAUAAGAAAAGAACCAGUUUAAUUCUUAUCUAGGAGACAGCAAUGACAUAACUGUAGUACCACUUCUAUUCACUUGGUUACUUCAUAAGAAAAGAACUAGUUUAAUUCUUACCUGGGAGGCCACAAUGACGUAACUGCCAGGGGGAAGAGAUCUGGUUUCUUUAGAUAAUCCAUCAGUGACGAUAGAAGCCCACUGCUUGACUCAACAGCUUAGAGUAACAAAAAUGAUUGUUGUAUGUCUGGCACACAGUAAGCCCUUUCUUGGCAGAUGAUAAAAACGAUUAAAAAAUAUUAUGGCCUGCUGGCAAGAUGGCCCAGCAGGUUAAGAUGCUUGCGGCCAGGUCUGACCGCUUGAGUUUGACCUCCAGAGCCUGCAAAGUAGAAGGAAAAAACUGAUUCCCACAAAUUGUCCUCUGACCACACACAGCAGUGGCAUGAGAACACACUACUUCCACACCCAAGCGCGCACACACACAUAUACAUAUACGUGCACAGAUACACACCACACAUAUAUACACAUAGACACACACACACAUACACACACUACAUAAAUAAAUGUAAUACAAAUAUUAUGACCUUACAGACAUGACCUAUUUGAUGAAGGGACCUAUUCAAGUCAAAUAAAUAUCUUUGGUGCACCUGCAAUGUACUAAAUAUGAUAUUUUUUAAUACAAUGACUUAAAUGUUCUCUCCUUACUCAGGAAGAUUGUAAUCUAUGGUCAUGAUGGUGGCUGCCAAACCAAUGACUUUUUUAAAGAAGAUAUUUAAUUUCUGAAGAACAUUUUACAUUUACAAAUGAAGGUCUGGAGGACUUAGUUUAUUUUUUAGGUACAAUUAGGAAAGCCUGCUUAGAGCUAAUGAAACCUAAGUUGGGAUUUCUAGAAGGAUCAGUUGAAGAAUGUUAUUGUCUGUGAGUAUGGUAACCGGGUAAGAGGGGAAGAGACUGCUGACACAGAGAUGUGGCUAAAGAGACAGGGCAGUCGUGGGUCAUUGAGAAUCUAAUACGCCAUGCUCAGACACUUUGACUUUGUUCUGUAAGUACUGGUGGAAGACUGACGAUCAGCAGGAGAGUGGAAUGGUGGGUGGUGCUGGCUCAGGCAGACAAGACCACAGCAGACUCAGAGCAAAAGAGAUACUUCCAUGUUUUGGUUUUUUUAAAUGACCCAGAGAGGGAAAACAAAAUAAUGAAUUUGAUACUGGUUCUUCAAUCCGUCAGGAUAGAAUGGUCAAUAUGUUAGUAAGAAGUAAUUCCAAAGUUUCACAAGCUUAACGUAGAGGUGGGGUGGGGCUAAAUUUCUCAGUCAUCCUGCAUACACCCUGUUUUGUCUACUGGAAGACUGGCUUUUAAGCUUCUUGGCUCUUGGAGGCAAGUUGAUGAAGCUUGGUAUCUUCAGACUGUUGCCAGCUAUUUUAACAGGGAGACACAAGUAAAAUUGUGUGCCGAAAGUGAUACACAUUGCCCCCAAAACACUUCACUCUCCUAAAGUAGUGAGAUGACACAUUGAUCUCACAGGAGAAGGGAAAUACAUUUUCACCAUAUUCCUUCAAAGAGGAGAAACAGAAAUAACCAGCAUAUAGAGACCAUCUCUCCCUGAUGCUGCUGAAUAGAUAUGCAGUUCACUGUCCUUCCUGUGUGCAAAACACAGUUACACUAAGGACAAGAACUCAGGUGGAUCUGGUGGCUUCUGAGAAGUCCUGACGAGUAUAGAUGAAGAUACUCAGGGAGCAACCAGAGAUUUGAGUACUGGGGUACAGCAGAGAACUUAAGACUAAAGACUUAAAUGUGGGAACAUCAACAAAGGGUGAUCAACAAUAGGAAUUGAUUGGUUUUCUGAGGAAAUGUUGUAGCUUGUGAGAGCAAACCAAGGCCAGAGCUCUGGAGGUGACAUUUCUUAAAUGAGCCAGCAUACAACAAAGCACUGAAGAGGACUGGGGGCAAUAAAAGUAAGUCAAGGUUCCGGUGACAUUGGAAGAUGAAGUAAAAGACUUCCAACAAGGAAGAAAAAAGCCAACAAAAUGAUGACAGGUGUUGGUUUGAUUGGAGUCUAUAUGGCUUUAGAAAACAUUGCUUGAAUGCAUAGGGGCAGAAGUUUUUUCCUGCAAGUUGGUUUAUAGAUUCAGGCUAAAGAAAUGAAGAGUGUUGAGGGCACCCUCUUGAGAAGAAAAGAGUGAAGGGGAAUGCAGAUCAGGAGAGGAGGAUCCUCAAGAGAGAAGGUACUGAGUGAUGGCUAUGGUCCUCAAGGAGGAAGGAAGAAAUGAGGUCAGUAACUCUGGGAGAAGAACCUCAUGAGGUUGGAAAUUAGUGUUUGGUAGCCAUCAAAUACCUGAGAAGUUGACAAUCAAGGUGAAUCAAUCUGGCAUGGAGAAGGAGGGAGAGAGUGUGGUAAUGGCAUAUGAUAUAGAAAUGUAGGCUAUAGAUAUGAUAGGAUGAAAGGGUAGAUUAUUAAAUCUGCUUUUAAAGAGCAGCAACUUGUUUAAAAUGUUUUAUAUUGCUAUGGAUUUUAGUUUAUUGGUACAAAUUUAAAGCUAAUUAUGUUAUAUUGUAUGUAUAUUUCUACUCUUGUUUUAAGUAUUUUGUUUGUGCAGCUCAUUUGAAAUUGUAAUGUAUAGUUGAGAAAUACAGAUUAAUAAUUAGUCAUCUAUGAUAAUCAAACUUAUAGUCAUGUUAGUUAAGUUUUCUAGGUAUACAUAGAUAUAUUUCAAUUAGGUAGUCAAUCUUCAAACACUUCAAAGACCUACAGAAUAUGGCAUUUAAAAUGUUUUAAAAACUUAGGCUUUCCUGGACAAUGAGACAUGUUUGCUCCUGGCAAUACUGAUUUACUUAAAAAAAAAAAAAGAUGGGCGUCAAAGAUACUCCAUAUGGAGUUUAUCUUCUUCUUGGCAAAAUAGCCAUUUUGGCAAGAAACUGUUAUUGCCUGGACUGCUUGACAAAAUGUUGUAUCAACUGGACAUGCAGGACCCCUGGGAAAAUGACCACUAAAUUUGUCAAAACAAGGCAAGAUGGUCCUUCAGGUUCCUGCUUCGCAGAGGAGACUGCAAAAUAUUCUACAGGACACAGAGAGAAGCAACUGAGAGAUUCUAGGCCUAUAGGUGAAGAAUGAUGCCCCAAUGUUGCAGAGAAACUUUGAGUGACUGUCCAGGUAGUCAGCCUUCUCCAUCAUUCUAGAUUUUUGGAAGUUGCUUACAAUGCAUUUCCUGUUUACUUAGGUAAUAUUAUAUCCUUCUGGGAUCUUUGAUGUAGUUGAAGACUAAAUAAUUACAGUUAUAAUUUUCCUUUGUUAUGAUACAAGAUAAAUUAGAUAUGAAACUUUAGACUCACAAAUAAAGGAUAGAUGAUAAAAUACUUUCCUUAAUUUUACCAAAUGUAAAUGGACUAGAUAUUGUAAUUGUAAUUCCUGCUUGAUAACUGUUCUAUUAUAUGUAAUUUUACUAUGUUAAAAUUAAAACCUUCUUUUUGAUUAGAUAGAAAAGGGGAAGUGCUGUGGGAUGUUGUUCUGUGUGCUGUAAAUAUGUGUUGCUCUGAUUGGUUGAUAAAUAAAACACUGAUUGGCCAGUAUCCGGGCAGGAAGUAUAGGUGGGGUGAGCAGAAGAAGAGAAUGCUGGGAAGAGGAAGAGCAGAAUCAGGAGUUGCCAGCCAGACACAGAGGAAACAAGAUGACAAGGCAGAACUGAGAAAAGGUACCAUGCCACAUGGCUAAACAUAAAUAAAAAUUAUGGAUUAAUUUAAGUGUAAGAGCUAGUCAGUAAUAAGCCUGAGCAAAUGGCUGAGCAGUUAUAAAUAAUAUUAAGCCUCUGUAUGAUUACUUUAUAAGCAGCUGAGGGACCAUGUGGCUGGGUGGGACACAGAAAAACUUCCAACUACAGGCAUACAUAAACCUGAGAACAGUACAUCCCCAGAAGGAAAAGAGAGAGCCAGUUAAUAAAAAUAUAGCAAGAGUAAUGCUUGGCCAAGUUCAUGUUAAACUGAGAAGUAAAAAUACAGAUUACUAGAACUACAAAAAUCCUAAAUCUUUCAUUUCUACACUGAUUUUUAUUAAACCAUCUAUUUGCAUGGGGCUUGAAGCUAAGUCCCCCAUGGGGAAAUACUAUUUUUCUUUUUAUUUAUUGUUUUUUCCUUUUUUUCUGCACAGCUUAUCAUUUUCAUCAAAGAUAGGCUCACAUAGAUAAAUCACAAAGGGGAGUGUUAAUUUUAAGCUGUUCCAGAGGACAAGAACACUUGUAUACUUUUCAGGAACAUCAUAUUUAUUAUUUUAGAAUGGAUGCACAUACGCCUUAAGCUUGAUUCAGCAUGAGGAUAUAAAGUCUUAUCAAAUAGCUAGACAAAGGGCUGCUGAGACGCGCAGGUAAGGGCUGAGUUCAGUGACUUCAAUCCCUGAGACUCCCAUGGUGGAAGUAGAGAACCCACUUCUGCAACUAAGUUAUCCUCUGACCUCCACCAACGUGCACAUAUAUGCAUGCAUGUACAUGCACACACACACACACAUACACAAUUAAUUAAAAUGUAAUAAAGUUUCAAAUAUAUUAUAAAAAUGCAGAUUUAUAACCAUCUGUAGUCUAACAUGCACAUGUUACAGUUUAGGUUUUAGAAUUUCAUGUUGAGCACCACCAGUACAUUUGCAGUACAUGCUCUCCAUAACAUAUUAAACAUGCUCUUCCAAACACACCCACAAGCUAGAGACCAACCUCCAUAAUCUACUAGGACUGAAAUAUUAAAAACUUCAUUUAUUCAAGCGUUUAUUAAACACCCACUAUGGAGGUGUUUCUUAACUUUCUUAACUGUACAGUCCUCAUAAAACAUUGAAGAAGAAAUGAGUACAGACUGCCCUCUGAUGACUGGUGCAGCUGGCAUCAUCUGGAACAUUGAAGAAGAGGACUAACAUGAGAAAGAAAGGGAGUUUAUCCCAGAGGUGAAGUGCUAGGGGAUGGUCCCCAAGGAGGGAGCCAGGAAGACAGCAAGACCAUACUUUGAACAGGAUGAGCAUCAAUAGUGUCAGGAAUACACAAACAAAAAGCUAAAAUCAGAAUUUGAACUAAUCAUCCACUUUGAAUGUGGCCUGCUGUGGCACACUUCCCCAGGGACAGGAUGACCUCACAGGGUAUGACUUGAUCCCCACUUACAAAUGGAGCUGCAAACAGAUGUGUGAAGGAAUGGGGCAUUGCUGUGACUCACUGCCACUUCGCCACCAUGUGCCUCCAGAUGAUGCCAGCUUCACCAGUCAUCAGAGGGCAGUUUGUACUCAUCUCUUCUUCAUGGUCUUGUGAAGACUGUACAGAUUUGCCAGUUUUUAAAAAUAUGCGACUUGGAAGCUGGUGAGAUAGCUCAGCGGUUAGAACACUUGCUGCUUUUCCAGAGGACCUGAGUUCCAGUUCCCAGCACCCACAACUAGUGGCUCACAAUCACCUAUAUCUCCAGCUCCAGAGAAACUGAUGCCCUUUUCUGACCUCUUCAGCCACCCAAGUGUACACACAAAUAUACACAAGAAUAAAUGCUAAAAUAACCCAUUUUUAAAAGAUCAGGGUUUACACUUGUAUCUUUGUUAGAGAACAUGGUUGUGAUACCUAUGAUGACAUUGGUAUUUGUUUCAAAGUAUAGCCUGUGUCUGUGCUGGUCUCCAGGCAGGUCUCGGUUCCUUUACUGCAGCAAUUGUCUGGAAGCUCUACAUGAAUUGCCUAGUCCGUCGAGGUAAUAGAGCAAGUCCUUCAAAUCUGAGGGUAUUGGGUCUGCAGCAAUGACCUUGGUCGGACCUGAGUGGCUCAUUAUUCACUGUCAAGUCCUGUCAGUCAAGUCUCAGUUAUUGCUGGCUUGCCAGCCUAGGACCUCACACCAAGGCUAUCCUCAUGGAAGAAACAUUUAUAUCAGUCUGGAGGUUGCAUUAAAGAGCAAACAGUAAGCCCAAGUGAUGUGAAUUUCUUGUUAGGUUGUGAGGGGGUUAGACACAUGAACAUGCUCAAAACUCACUUGUCCAACCUAAACAUCCCUCUUUUUCCCCACUUUAUAGAUGAAAUGAAACUUUGGUGAUCAGCAUUUUAUGGCAAUAACAUUUCAUUUGAGAUAAUUGAUUUGAUGAAGAUCUUUUUCAGUUGGAGGACCAUAUUCUUCAUCUAAGAUGGCAUUUAGAAACUUGGAGCGCUGGAGAAUGUUCCCAGGUUUAAGAUGAAGAUAACAGUUGUGACAAAAAAAAACUGACUUAGAACUGAGCAGAGCUAGUGUGUGUUGUUUUAAAGCAAGAAGGUGCUCACAGAUGGCUCAGAGAGAGACUUAGCAAGUCUGUGCUAAUCACACUCAUGCAUGGGAAUGCCUCCACUGAA
Peromyscus californicus insignis is the source of this 7194-nucleotide long non-coding RNA. RefSeq lists it as uncharacterized. Lineage: Eukaryota; Metazoa; Chordata; Mammalia; Rodentia; Cricetidae. The transcript is spliced from 3 exons. The record is from RefSeq and is a predicted model, not a curated record.